GCCAGAAGAUGGUCUCAAUCUCCUGACCUCGUGAUCUGCCCUCGGCCUCCCAAAGUGCUGAGAUUACAGGAGAAUCACUUGAACCCGGGAGGCAGAG
Molecule: long non-coding RNA, 97 nt
Organism: Homo sapiens (human)
Lineage: Eukaryota; Metazoa; Chordata; Mammalia; Primates; Hominidae
Source: Ensembl